CAUGCUGAGUAAUUAGCAGUAAGCAAAAGAGAAAAAAGUUUCUUUGAAGAAUAUAAACUCCAAGGAAGUACAUACAGUAUGUGUUGGAAUGACAAGUGAUAUGAAGAAGUAACACAGGAGGAGGGAGAAGAGAAGAUGAAAGAUGGCAGGAUUCCAGAGAAGAGGCUAUUAAGAGCUGUUCUUUAAUUACUGUGUGAGGCAGUGCCUCAGGAACAUGUUCUGUAAUAGCCGAAAGCAGACUGGCAUUACACUCAAGCGUGCACAGUCAGGUGACCCACUUAAAGGAGAUGCUCAUUAUCCAUGGAUGAAGUCCAUGCUGUACAAUGGAGAAAAUAAGGUAGGACAUCCUGAUCCAGCGAGUAGGAGGAGAAGAGGACAGAGAUCAAGAGGACAGGACUUGGAGCCAUGAAGAGAAUUCUUGGAACCAUGAGGAGAGAUGGACCAAACCUAAGAUAUGACUAAAAGCAAGUAUAAUGUGUAAAAUCUGAAUGGUAAAAAACUAUGUGGGCUUGGAGGUUUAGGAUGGAAUAAAUGUUGCCCAGCAUUGUGCUCUAGGUUAAUUAAAUAAAUCCUAAUCUCGGUGUGGUGAUUUGGGUAUACAGCUGGUUUAGGAAUAACCACUGUUUAAUGAAAAGAUAAAUCAACAGUAAAUAUUAAUCACCCACAACAUGAGUCCCAGGGAUCAAACUCAGGUUGAGCAGCCUGGCCACAAUCAACUUUACAGGCUGAGCCAUCUCACAGGCUCCCUACUUUUAUGAUUACUAACUUGCAAUUUAACAUGACCUUUUUUAGAGUCCCUGUG
Long non-coding RNA from Psammomys obesus (fat sand rat), 802 nucleotides. RefSeq lists it as uncharacterized. Lineage: Eukaryota; Metazoa; Chordata; Mammalia; Rodentia; Muridae. The transcript is spliced from 3 exons. The record is from RefSeq and is a predicted model, not a curated record.